Molecule: long non-coding RNA, 782 nt
Organism: Pseudoliparis swirei
Lineage: Eukaryota; Metazoa; Chordata; Actinopteri; Perciformes; Liparidae
Exons: 4
Source: RefSeq, a predicted model, not a curated record
UUACGUGGAAACCUGAACUCAAGUGUUGCCCAAUCGAGGUGUUUCCACUCCCGAACCCCACCCGAGCAUUCCCACCAACACCCGGGGGUCUAACGUAAGUACCCACAACACCUGUAACACAAACCACACGCUUCAACUCUGCGGUGUGUGUAUAGCUGUACUCACGCGUGGACGAGGAGGGGGACCAACACACAGAAAGUACGCCACACAGGAAGCGUGGUCGAAGCGGCUGCCAUCACGCUGCUCUACUUUAUGAAAUGAAGUAACUGUUUACCAGAUGGGAUACGGAGAGAGGAAGAAAGAGAAUAUCUCGAUGGCCUCCUUGGGGAUGAAUAAGUGGAAGAGCCGGACAUGUCUUCUUGGCACAGACUCGUGAGGAAGCUGCUGGAAGGGACCGUGUUGCAGAGCGUCCCCCGGGGGACGCCGAAGAAGAAGAAGAAGAGGGGAGGAGACGAGUCGAGGAAGCAGAAGUUCGGUUCCAAAGAAGCGCCACUGACUCCCCUCGAUGACCGCAAACCGAAUGUUUUCAGAAAGAAUAUCAAUCCAUCCUUCGUUGAGCCGUUCACACUCUGUCAGAGGUAAGUUUAAUAUGGUGAAUGGUGCAACACAGCUUAUAUGCUUCAUGUACUUUAUCUCGUAGGCGUUCUUGUAAUUUCAGUGAAUGUAGAAUGAAACAUUUAUAUUGCGUCUGAAUUUGUAUGUAUUAUAUUUUUGGAAAUGACCGUCCAGAUAGGAGAAGUAGACCAACAGACAAAUAUAAGUUCCUAUUAUUUUGCUCUGUU